UACCUGGUUGAUCCUGCCAGUAGUCAUAUGCU
RNAcentral lists this non-coding RNA (32 nucleotides) under Drosophila melanogaster (fruit fly). The record is from RNAcentral. Lineage: Eukaryota; Metazoa; Arthropoda; Insecta; Diptera; Drosophilidae. RNAcentral also lists the same sequence under 87 other names.